This 301-nucleotide ribosomal RNA is filed under the name uncultured bacterium. Its description in RNAcentral is "partial 16S ribosomal RNA". It matches the Rfam family "Bacterial small subunit ribosomal RNA", at positions 509 to 809 of the family's 1533-position model. The record is from RNAcentral.
CAGCAGCCACGGGAAUACGAAGGGUGCAAGCGUUACUCGGAAUUACUGGGCGUAAAGCGUGCGUAGGUGGUGGUUUAAGUCCGUUGUGAAAGCCCUGGGCUCAACCUGGGAAUUGCAGUGGAUACUGGGUCACUAGAGUGUGGUAGAGGAUAGUGGAAUUUCCGGUGUAGCAGUGAAAUGCGUAGAGAUCGGAAGGAACAUCUGUGGCGAAGGCGACUAUCUGGGCCAACACUGACACUGAGGCACGAAAGCGUGGGGAGCAAACAGGAUUAGAUACCCCUGUAGUCCCUGUCUCUUAUAU